Esox lucius (northern pike) is the source of this 694-nucleotide long non-coding RNA. The record is from Ensembl. NCBI's taxonomy places the organism in Eukaryota, Metazoa, Chordata, Actinopteri, Esociformes, Esocidae.
CUAACAUUUUCAGACCAGAGAGUGUUAUUGAGAGCCCUCCACCUGUAUCCAGACAUGCUCCCAGAUCCCAAAACCCACAGAGAAAGAUACUGACUGAGAGGAAGAGUGAGAGAUUAGUGAGAGACAGAUGGAGAGUGAUGGAGAAAGGUGAGCAGUGUUAAAGAGGUUUUAGGGUUAGUGGAGGUGGGCAGUGUUUAAGAGGUUUUAGGGUUAGUGGAGGUGGGCAGUGUUUAAGAGGUUUUAUGGUUAGUGGAGGUGGGCAGUGUUUAAGAGGUUUUAGGGUUAGUGGAGGUGGGCAGUGUUUAAGAGGUUUUAGGGUUAGUGGAGGUGGGCAGUGUUUAAGAGGUUUUAGGGUUAGUGGAGGUGGGCAGUGUUUAAGAGGUUUUAUGGUUAGUGGAGGUGGGCAGUGUUUAAGAGGUUUUAGGGUUAGUGGAGGUGGGCAGUGUUAAAGAGGUUUUAGGGUUAGUGGAGGUGGGCAGUGUUUUAUAUUAGAUAUUUACUGUGGUAUUAACAUUUAGUGCAUACUUUCCCAGUGACAAAUAAAGGGUAAAGGAAUGUGACACAUGAAUGCAGUCAGGAAGUAGCCUUCUCCAGUAGCAUUCUUCUGUAGGGCAAAACAGUCUGAAUCAUUGGCUGGCAGCAGGGAUGACAUCAAAACGCUAGUCAGGUUGUAGGGAGAGCCAUCAGACCACAC